RNAcentral lists this ribosomal RNA (1234 nucleotides) under metagenome. RNAcentral's name for it is "bacterial LSU rRNA". It matches the Rfam family "Bacterial large subunit ribosomal RNA", at positions 1564 to 2808 of the family's 2925-position model. The record is from RNAcentral.
UGAAUACGAGACGCUAAGGCGUCGAAGUAGUGUAUGUCAUACUUCCAAGAAAAGCUUGCACUGUCAUAGAUAAAAAACGCCUGUACCAUAACCGACACAGGUGGGUAGGUAGAGUAUACUAAGGGGCGCGAGAUAACUCUCUCUAAGGAACUCGGCAAAAUAACUCCGUAACUUCGGGAGAAGGAGUGCCUUAUUCGUAAGGUUGCAAUAACAAGAUCCAAGCAACUGUUUAUCAAAAACACAGGUCUCCGCUAAGUCGUAAGACGAUGUAUGGGGGCUGACGCCUGCCCAGUGCCAGAAGGUUAAAGAAGUUGGUUAGCAAUUGCGAAGCUGAUAACUGAAGCCCUGGUGAACGGCGGCCGUAACUAUAACGGUCCUAAGGUAGCGAAAUUCCUUGUCGGGUAAGUUCCGACCCGCACGAAAGGCGUAAUGAUUUGGAUACUGUCUCGGAGAGGGGCUCGGUGAAAUAGACUUGUCUGUGAAGAUGCGGACCACCUGCACCAGGACAGAAAGACCCUAUGAAGCUUUACUGUAACUUGAAAUUGAAAUUGGACUUUAUUCGCGCAGCAUAGGUGGGAGGCGUUGAUUAUAAUCUUGCGGGAUUAUUGGAGCCAUCAGUGAGAUACCACUCUUGUAAUGUUAGAUUUCUAACUUUGAAUCAUUAUCUGGUCAAAGAACAGUUUCAGGCGGGCAGUUUGACUGGGGCGGUCGCCUCCUAAACGGUAACGGAGGCGUACAAAGGUUUCCUCUGAACGGUUAGAAAUCGUAUCUAGAGUGUAAAGGCAUAAGGAAGCUUGACUGUGAGACCUACAAGUCGAGCAGGGACGAAAGUCGGUCUUAGUGAUCUGACGGUACUGAGUGGAAAGGCCGUCACUCAACGGAUAAAAGUUACUCUAGGAUAACAGGCUGAUCUCCCCCAAGAGUUCACAUCGACGGGGAGGUUUGGCACCUCGAUGUCGGCUCAUCGCAUCCUGGGGCGGUAGUACGUCCCAAGGGUUGGGCUGUUCGCCCAUGAAAGCGGUACGCGAGCUGGGUUCAGAACGUCGUGAGACAGUUCGGUCCAUAUCCGGUGUAGGCGUUAGAAUAUUGAGAGGAGCCUUCUUUAGUACGAGAGGACCGAGAAGGACAUACCUCUGGUGUACCAGUUAUCGUGCCAACGGUAAACGCUGGGUAGCUAUGUAUGGAGUGGAUAACCGCUGAAAGCAUCUAAGUGGGAAGCCCACCUCAAGAUAAG